This 1315-nucleotide long non-coding RNA is filed under the name Danio rerio (zebrafish). RNAcentral's name for it is "lncRNA (ENSDARG00000117820.1)". The record is from RNAcentral. Lineage: Eukaryota; Metazoa; Chordata; Actinopteri; Cypriniformes; Danionidae.
GUGGAUUUGUGUUGAAAUAUUGAUGCAACAAAGUGCUUUCCACUCGUGUUUGAAUUGUAUUCAUCCAUUCACGUUGAUGAUCGUGUUAAUGGAUGACCGCACACUUCUAAGUUCAUCGGGCACACAGUUUACAACCUUGCUGCAUAUUAACACAUUGCAGCACAUUAACAAAUCGACUCAUAAUCGCUUAGCUAUCAUAACCUUUUGUUUCAUUUAUAGCUGUAAUUACAGAACAUUUCAACCAAUUGUUGCAAUAAAAAACUGAUGCAUGAACAGAACAAAGCACGGGCGGUCUGUUUAAAACGGCAACACUGGCAGUGAGCUUGGAACGCAGACCGUGAUAGAAUUGAACAUGACAAAGAUUUCUCCAGAAACAAGCGACAACAUCAGGUCUUUGUGGAGGGCAGGGCAUUCUCUUGCUGACAUCAGGGCUUUCCUGUUGCAGUCGGGUGUGCACGUCUCCAAGACCACUAUAAGACGACACUAUAGACGUCAAAGACCUGUAGGCCUUCCUAAAAAAACAACGGCAAGGAAAAUUAACAGUACUGCACUUAAAAUGAUUGACGAAAUACUACACGAGGACGAUGAGCGAUCUGCUAAAAAGAUUCAGAGCGAGCUUCUGUCCAGAAUACAGUUAAAAGCAUCAGUCUGCACUAUCAGAAAAACAUUAAAACAACUCGGGUGGACCUAUGGAAAAGACAGGACAGACCCCAUGAUCCGUGACCACAACAAGGUUCUCCGUCUUACUCAAGUUCAGCAGUGGAUGUCUGACCAGGAGACCUUUGACAACGUGAUAUUUUCAGAUGAAACGACCGUGGCUUUGGAGCGUUUUGCACUGAUGUGCUAUCGGAAAAAGGGUCGCCAUGUUGUGAAACCGAAAGCAAAGCAUCCAGUAAAGCUUCAUGUCUGGGGAGCCAUAUCCCGUCAGGGACCUGGACCGCUAGUUGUGUUUGAAGGUAAAAUCUCUUCAAUUUGACUGAAUCCUUUCUUUGCAGUUUCUUUAUGUAUAACAUUUUUUUUUCAGGAAUUAUGGACAGAUGUUUUUACGAAGACAGCAUAAUAAAAUCAAAUCUGUCUCCAUACGUAAAACAGCACUUUAAAGGACCACAUCGCUUCUUCCAAGGUAGACACAGUAUGUAGGCCUACUGUACUGUGUGUGUGUGUGCGUGUGUGUGUGUGAUAUUUUAUGAUUUACAUUUGUUUCCGAAUCUUAAACUUUCUAAUGUGUUUUUUUUUUUUCAGACAACGACCCAAAACAUACAGCAGCACGACAUUGUAUUGCUGCGGAGGGGAUCAACUGGGUGAAAACCCCAGC